RNAcentral lists this ribosomal RNA (481 nucleotides) under uncultured bacterium. RNAcentral's name for it is "partial 16S ribosomal RNA". It matches the Rfam family "Bacterial small subunit ribosomal RNA", at positions 30 to 507 of the family's 1533-position model. The record is from RNAcentral.
UUGAACGCUGGCGGCAUGCCUUACCCAUGCCAGUCGAACGGUAACAGGUCUUCGGAUGCUGACGAGUGGCGAACGGGUGAGUAAUACAUCGGAACGUGCCCAGACGUGGGGGAUAACGAGGCGAAAGCUUUGCUAAUACCGCAUACGAUCUAAGGAUGAAAGCAGGGGACCGCAAGGCCUUGUGCGUUUGGAGCGGCCGAUGGCAGAUUAGGUAGUUGGUGGGAUAAAAGCUUACCAAGCCGACGAUCUGUAGCUGGUCUGAGAGGACGACCAGCCACACUGGGACUGAGACACGGCCCAGACUCCUACGGGAGGCAGCAGUGGGGAAUUUUGGAUAAUGGGCGAAAGCCUGAUCCAGCAAUGCCGCGUGCAGGAUGAAGGCCUUCGGGUUGUAAACUGCUUUUGUACGGAACGAAAAGGCUCUGGCUAAUACCUGGGGCACAUGACGGUACCGUAAGAAUAAGCACCGGCUAACUACGUG